UGGGAAAGCYUUYGCGGYAUGGGAUGGGGUCGCGUCCUAUCAGCUUGAMGGCGGGGUAACGGCCCACCRUGGCUUCGACGGGUAGCCGGCCUGAGAGGGCGACCGGCCACAUUGGGACUGAGAUACGGCCCAGACUCCUACGGGAGGCAGCAGUGGGGAAUAUUGCACAAUGGGCGCAAGCCUGAUGCAGCGACGCCGCGUGAGGGAUGGAGGCCUUCGGGUUGUAAACCUCUUUUAUCGGGGAGCAAGCGAGAGUGAGUUUACCCGUUGAAUAAGCACCGGCUAACUACGUGCCAGCAGCCGCGGUAAUACGUAGGGUGCAAGCGUUAUCCGGAAUUAUUGGGCGUAAAGGGCUCGUAGGCGGUUCGUCGCGUCCGGUGUGAAAGUCCAUCGCUUAACGGUGGAUCCGCGCCGGGUACGG
RNAcentral lists this ribosomal RNA (421 nucleotides) under uncultured Bifidobacterium sp. RNAcentral's name for it is "bacterial SSU rRNA". It matches the Rfam family "Bacterial small subunit ribosomal RNA", at positions 199 to 635 of the family's 1533-position model. Lineage: Bacteria; Bacillati; Actinomycetota; Actinomycetes; Bifidobacteriales; Bifidobacteriaceae. The record is from RNAcentral.